Molecule: long non-coding RNA, 493 nt
Organism: Puntigrus tetrazona (Sumatra barb)
Lineage: Eukaryota; Metazoa; Chordata; Actinopteri; Cypriniformes; Cyprinidae
Exons: 3
Source: RefSeq, a predicted model, not a curated record
GGUUAGGUUAUUUAGAAUGCCCCCUGUUAGUUAGAUGCUGUUUUGUUUGUUAUUUUGGCCUGGCUCUCCCCUGCUUUUUGGGGCAGAAGACUGGAGUGAUCUUUACACAUUUUUUCCUUAAGUUUUAAGUUACUUUGUUACUCCCACUCCCACCUCUAGAAUUGGGGAAUGGGAACGUAACAAGUGGGGGCUCGUCCACUUGUCUGUUCGUCCGCUCAUCUCUUAAUUGGCUGGUGACACUUAUUCUGACGGCACCCAUUGACUGCUGAGGAUCCAUUGGUGAGCAAGUGAUGUUAUGCUAAACUUCUCCAAAUAUGUUCCCAUGAAGAAACAAACUCAUCUUCAUCUCUGGCCUGAGAAGCCAGGCUCAAUAUUGGGUAACCCCACAUCGCUGGGUUCGUUCUUCACCGUCAGAAGGCAAGCGACAGCAACAGUCAUGCAGAUCACCCCAGACACGGACAUGAUGAUUCUCCAAUUAUAGUACUGAACCAAC